AAAACCUUUAACAACGGAUCUCUUGGUUCUGGCAUCGAUGAAGAACGCAGCGAAAUGCGAUAAGUAAUGUGAAUUGCAGAAUUCAGUGAAUCAUCGAAUCUUUGAACGCACAUUGCGCCCGCCAGCAUUCUGGCGGGCAUGCCUGUUCGAGCGUCAUUUCAACCCUCAAGCACUGCUUGGCGUUGGGG
RNAcentral lists this ribosomal RNA (188 nucleotides) under Monilochaetes camelliae. RNAcentral's name for it is "Australiasca queenslandica 5.8S ribosomal RNA". The stretch from base 3 to 156 matches the Rfam family "5.8S ribosomal RNA". Rfam says of the family: 5.8S ribosomal RNA (5.8S rRNA) is a component of the large subunit of the eukaryotic ribosome. It is transcribed by RNA polymerase I as part of the 45S precursor that also contains 18S and 28S rRNA. Lineage: Eukaryota; Fungi; Ascomycota; Sordariomycetes; Glomerellales; Australiascaceae. The record is from RNAcentral. RNAcentral also lists the same sequence under 2 other names.